Molecule: ribosomal RNA, 253 nt
Filed under: uncultured bacterium
Lineage: Bacteria
Description: partial 16S ribosomal RNA
Rfam family: Bacterial small subunit ribosomal RNA
Source: RNAcentral
UACGGAGGGUGCAAGCGUUAUCCGGAUUCACUGGGUUUAAAGGGUGCGUAGGUGGGCUAGUAAGUCCGUGGUGAAAUCUCCGGGCUUAACCCGGAAACUGCCAUUGAUACUAUUAGUCUUGAAUACCAUGGAGGUGAGCGGAAUAUGUCAUGUAGCGGUGAAAUGCUUAGAUAUGACAUAGAACACCAAUUGCGAAGGCAGCUCGCUACGCGGUUAUUGACACUGAGGCACGAAAGCGUGGGGAUCAAACAGG